This 734-nucleotide ribosomal RNA is filed under the name uncultured bacterium. RNAcentral's name for it is "bacterial SSU rRNA". It matches the Rfam family "Bacterial small subunit ribosomal RNA", at positions 76 to 788 of the family's 1533-position model. The record is from RNAcentral.
UUCGUCGGAAGAGUAGAGUGGCGAACGGGUGAGUAACGCGUGGGUAAUCUGCCCUUGAGUUUGGGAUAACUUCGCGAAAGCGGAGCUAAUACCGAAUAAAACUGACCUUGUUCCGGCAAGAUCAGUAAAAGAUGGCCUCUACAUGUAAGCUGUCGCUUAAGGAUGAGCCCGUGUACCAUUAGCUUGUUGGUAGGGUAAUGGCCUACCAAGGCAACGAUGGUUAGCUGGUCUGAGAGGAUGAUCAGCCACACUGGAACUGAGAUACGGUCCAGACUCCUAUGGGAGGCAGCAGUGGGGGAUCUUGCGCAAUGGGGGAAACCCUGACGCAGCGACGCCGUGUGAGUGAUGAAGGCUUUCGGGUCGUAAAGCUCUGUCAGGUGGGAAGAAAUAUCUCGAUACGAAUAAUAUCGGGGUUUGACGGUACCACCAAAGGAAGCACCGGCUAACUCCGUGCCAGCAGCCGCGGUAAUACGGAGGGUGCAAGCGUUGUUCGGAAUUAUUGGGCGUAAAGAGCGUGUUGGUGGUUGAACAAGUCAGGUGUGAAAUCCCUCGGCUCAACCGAGGAAGUGCAUUUGAAACUGUUCAGCUUGAGUACGGGAGAGGAGAGCGGAAUUCCCGGUGUAGAGGUGAAAUUCGUAGAUAUCGGGAGGAACACCGGUGGCGAAGGCGGUUCUCUGGCCCGAUACUGACACUGAGACGCGAAAGCGUGGGGAGCAAACAGGAUUAGAUACCCU